AAUCAACGCUGGCGGCGUGCCUCAGACAUGCAAGUCGAACGAUUAAAGCUCUCUUCGGAGAGUGUAUAGAGUGGCGCACGGGUGAGUAACACGUAAGUAAUCUACCUUCGAGUGGGGAAUAACGUCCGGAAACGGACGCUAAUACCGCAUAAUGCAGCGGCAUCGCAAGAUGACAGUUGUUAAAGAUUUAUCGCUUGAAGAGGAGCUUGCGGCAGAUUAGCUAGUUGGUAAGGUAAUGGCUUACCAAGGCUACGAUCUGUAACCGGUCUAAGAGGACGGUCGGUCACACUGACACUGAAUAACGGGUCAGACUCCUACGGAGGCAGCAGUCGGGAAUUUUGGGCAAUGGGCGAAAGCCUGACCCAGCAACGCCGCGUGAAGGAUGAAGUAUUUCGGUAUGUAAACUUCGAAAGAAUGGGAAGAAUCAAUGACGGUACCAUUUAUAAGGUCCGGCUAACUACGUGCCAGCCGCCGCCG
This 477-nucleotide ribosomal RNA is filed under the name uncultured bacterium. Its description in RNAcentral is "bacterial SSU rRNA". It matches the Rfam family "Bacterial small subunit ribosomal RNA", at positions 32 to 520 of the family's 1533-position model. The record is from RNAcentral.